Homo sapiens (human) is the source of this 2902-nucleotide long non-coding RNA. Ensembl annotates it as PKD1P6-NPIPP1 readthrough. Its record names the gene PKD1P6-NPIPP1. Lineage: Eukaryota; Metazoa; Chordata; Mammalia; Primates; Hominidae. The record is from Ensembl.
CUCUGCCCUCAUGCGCAUCCUCACGCGCUCCCGCGUGCUCAACGAGGAGCCCCUGACACUGGCGGGCGAGGAGAUCGUGGCCCAGGGCAAGCGCUCGGACCCGCGGAGCCUGCUGUGCUAUGGCGGCGCCCCAGGGCCUGGCUGCCACUUCUCCAUCCCCUAGGCUUUCAGCAGGGCCCCGGCUAACCUCAGUGACGUGGUGCAGCUCAUCUUUCUGGUGGACUCCAAUCCCUUUCCCUUUGGCUAUAUCAGCAACUACACCGUCUCCACCAAGGUGGCCUCGAUGGCGUUCCAGACACAGGCCGGCGCCCAGAUCCCCAUCGAGCGGCUGGCCUCAGAGCGCGCCAUCACCGUGAAGGUGCCCAACAACUCGGACUGGGCUGCCCGGGGCCACCGCAGCUCUGCCAACUCCGUUGUGGUCCAGCCCCAGGCCUCCGUCGGUGCUGUGGUCACCCUGGACAGCAGCAACCCUGCGGCCGUGCUGCAUCUGCAGCUCAACUAUACGCUGCUGGACGGCCGCUACCUGUCUGAGGAACCCGAGCCCUACCUGGCAGUCUACCUGCACUCGGAGCCCCGGCCCAAUGAGCACAACUGCUCGGCUAGCAGGAGGAUCCGCCCAGAGUCCCUCCAGGGUGCCGACCACCGGCCCUACACCUUCUUCAUUUCCCCGGGGACCAGAGACCCAGUGGGGAGUUACCGUCUGAACCUCUCCAGCCACUUCCGCCUGUCGGCGCUGGAGGUGUCCGUGGGCCUGUACACGUCCCUGUGCCAGUACUUCAGCGAGGAGGACGUGGUGUGGCGGACAGAGGGGCUGCUGCCCCUGGAGGAGACCUCGCCCCGCCAGGCCGUCUGCCUCACCCGCCACCUCACCGCCUUCGGCGCCAGCCUCUUCGUGCCCCCAAGCCAUGUACGCUUUGUGUUUCCUGAGCCGACAGCGGAUGUAAACUACAUCGUCAUGCUGACAUGUGCUGUGUGCCUGGUGACCUACAUGGUCAUGGCCGCCAUCCUGCACAAGCUGGACCAGUUGGAUGCCAGCCGGGGCCGCGCCAUCCCCUUCUGUGGGCAGCGGGGCCGCUUCAAGUACGAGAUCCUCGUCAAGACAGGCUGGGGCCGGGGCUCAGGUACCACGGCCCACGUGGGCAUCAUGCUGUAUGGGGUGGACAGCCGGAGCGGCCACCGGCACCUGGAUGGCGACAGAGCCUUCCACCGCAACAGCCUGGACAUCUUCCGGAUCGCCACCCCGCACAGCCUGGGUAGCGUGUGGAAGAUCCGAGUGUGGCACGACAAAGGGCUCAGCCCUGCCUGGUUCCUGCAGCACGUCAUCAUCAGGGACCUGCAGACGGCACACAGCACCUUCUUCCUGGUCAAUGACUGGCUUUCGGUGGAGACGGAGGCCAACGGGGGCCUGGUGGAGAAGGAGGUGCUGGCCGCGAGUCACGCAGCCCUGUUGCGCUUCCGGCGCCUGCUGGUGGCUGAGCUGCAGUGCGGCUUCUUUGACAAGCACAUCUGGCUCUCCAUAUGGGACCGGCCGCCUCGUAGCUGUUUCACUCGCAUCCAGAGGGCCACCUGCUGCGUUCUCCUCAUCUGCCUCUUCCUGGGCGCCAACGCCGUGUGGUACGGGGCUGUUGGUGACUCUGCCUACAGCACGGGGCAUGUGUCCAGGCUGAGCCCGCUGAGCGUCGACACAGUCGCUGUUGGCCUGGUGUCCAGCGUGGUUGUCUAUCCCGUCUACCUGGCCAUCCUCUUUCUCUUCUGGAUGUCCCGGAGCAAGGUGGCUGGGAGCCCGAGCCCCACACCUGCCGGGCAGCAGGUGCUGGACAUCGACAGCUGCCUGGACUCGUCCGUGCUGGACAGCUCCUUCCUCACGUUCUCAGGCCUCCACGCUGAGGUUAUCAAUACUCUGGCUGACCAUCGUCAUCGUGGGACUGACUUUGGUGGAAGUCCUUGGUUACUUAUCAUUACUGUGUUUCUGAGAAGUUAUAAAUUUGCCAUCUCCCUCUGCACAACUUACCUUUGGGUUAUCAAUACUCUGGCUGACCAUCGUCAUCGUGGGACUGACUUUGGUGGAAGUCCUUGGUUACUUAUCAUUACUGUGUUUCUGAGAAGUUAUAAAUUUGCCAUCUCCCUCUGCACAACUUACCUUUGUGUGUCUUUCCUGAAGACUAUCUUCCCGUCUCAAAAUGGACAUGAUGGAUCCACGGAUGUACAGCAGAGAGCCAGGAGGUCCAACCGCCGUAGACAGGAAGGAAUUAAAAUUGUCCUGGAAGACAUCUUUACUUUAUGGAGACAGGUGGAAACCAAGGUUCGAGCUAAAAUCCGUAAGAUGAAGGUGACAACAAAAGUCAACCGUCAUGACAAAAUCAAUGGAAAGAGGAAGACCGCCAAAGAACAUCUGAGGAAACUAAGCAUGAAAGAACGUGAGCACGGAGAAAAGGAGAGGCAGGUGUCAGAGGCAGAGGAAAAUGGGAAAUUGGAUAUGAAAGAAAUACACACCUACAUGGAAAUGUUUCAACGUGCGCAAGCGUUGCGGCGGCGGGCAGAGGACUACUACAGAUGCAAAAUCACCCCUUCUGCAAGAAAGCCUCUUUGCAACCGGGGACAAUUCCAAAUGAGGGCCUUAAAUGAUGCUCAGCUAAGCUGGUUCUUGUGUGGCCUCUGUACCUUCAAAAGCUGCCGAGUCCUAUGAUUACACGCGAUGGGACUUGUACACUUGAAGUGAAACACAGUUUUAAAACUUGCUUUGUUUAGAAUUCCCACCUCAUUUUUCCAUGGACAAAAGUAUUCUUUAUGUCCUAGUGCACUUACAAUUUGGUAUUACCUGGGAGUGAAAAGAAAUAUUACAGCCAUGCCUAACUGACUUCUUGAGGUCAGAAUGGCGGCAGCGGAGCAUCGUCAUUCUUCA